Molecule: long non-coding RNA, 404 nt
Filed under: Mytilus galloprovincialis (Mediterranean mussel)
Lineage: Eukaryota; Metazoa; Mollusca; Bivalvia; Mytilida; Mytilidae
Source: RNAcentral
AUUUCAGAUUUCAUAAAUAAAAAGAAAAUUUCUUCAAACAUUUUUUUGAGAGGAUUAAUAUUCAACAGCAUAGUGAAUUGCACAAAGGCAAAACAAAAAUUUCAAGUUCAUUAGACCACAUUCAUUCUGUGUCAGAAACCUAUGCUGUGUCAACUAUUUAAUCACAAUCCAAAUUUAGAGCUGAAUCCAGCUUGUAUGUUGUGUCCAUACUUGCCCCAACCGUUCAGGGUUCAACCUCUGCGGUCGUAUAAAGCUGCGCCCUGCGGAGCAUCUGGUUCCGUAUUAAUUUCGAUAUAGUUCGAUCUUCAAUUAUCUUGUUAUAAUCAGAAAGUAGUAAACCCCUGAAUUAAAGUUAUUCUAGUGAUAUCGUAAUUAUUUCGUCGCUUUCAUUUACACUAAACAAG